CUACGGGUGGCACCAGUGGGGAAUCUUGGACAAUGGGCGCAAGCCUGAUCCAGCCAUGCCGCGUGAGUGAUGAAGGCCUUAGGGUCGUAAAGCUCUUUCGCCAGAGAUGAUAAUGACAGUAUCUGGUAAAGAAACCCCGGCUAACUCCGUGCCAGCAGCCGCGGUAAUACGGAGGGGGUUAGCGUUGUUCGGAAUUACUGGGCGUAAAGCGCGCGUAGGCGGACUAGUCAGUCAGGGGUGAAAUCCCGGGGCUCAACCCCGGAACUGCCUUUGAUACUGCUAGUCUAGAGUUCGGGAGAGGUGAGUGGAAUUCCGAGUGUAGAGGUGAAAUUCGUAGAUAUUCGGAGGAACACCAGUGGCGAAGGCGGCUCACUGGCUCGAUACUGACGCUGAGGUGCGAAAGUGUGGGGAGCAAACAGGAUUAGAUACCCCAGUAGUC
Molecule: ribosomal RNA, 439 nt
Filed under: uncultured bacterium
Lineage: Bacteria
Description: partial 16S ribosomal RNA
Rfam family: Bacterial small subunit ribosomal RNA
Source: RNAcentral